RNAcentral lists this ribosomal RNA (397 nucleotides) under uncultured bacterium. RNAcentral's name for it is "partial 16S ribosomal RNA". It matches the Rfam family "Bacterial small subunit ribosomal RNA", at positions 523 to 918 of the family's 1533-position model. The record is from RNAcentral.
AUACGUAGGAGGCGAGCGUUGUCCGGAAUGAUUGGGCGUAAAGGGCGCGUAGGCGGCCCGGUAAGUCUGGAGUGAAAGUCCUGCUUUUAAGGUGGGAAUUGCUUUGGAUACUGUCGGGCUUGAGUGCAGGAGAGGUAAGUGGAAUUCCCAGUGUAGCGGUGAAAUGCGUAGAGAUUGGGAGGAACACCAGUGGCGAAGGCGACUUACUGGACUGUAACUGACGCUGAGGCGCGAAAGUGUGGGGAGCAAACAGGAUUAGAUACCCUGGUAGUCCACACUGUAAACGAUGAAUGCUAGGUGUAGGGGGUAUCGACCCCUUCUGUGCCGCAGUUAACACAAUAAGCAUUCCGCCUGGGGAGUACGGCCGCAAGGUUGAAACUCAAAUGAAUUGACGGGG